This 421-nucleotide ribosomal RNA is filed under the name uncultured bacterium. RNAcentral's name for it is "bacterial SSU rRNA". It matches the Rfam family "Bacterial small subunit ribosomal RNA", at positions 356 to 774 of the family's 1533-position model. The record is from RNAcentral.
GAGGAAUAUUGGUCAAUGGGGGCAACCCUGAACCAGCCAAGUCGCGUGAAGGAUGAAGGUCUUAUGGAUUGUAAACUUCUUUUAUACAGGAAUAAAUUGGGGGACGUGUCCCCUUUUGCAUGUACUGUAUGAAUAAGGAUCGGCUAACUCCGUGCCAGCAGCCGCGGUAAUACGGAGGAUCCGAGCGUUAUCCGGAUUUAUUGGGUUUAAAGGGUGCGCAGGCGGGAUGUUAAGUCGGCGGUGAAAUUUUGCAGCUCAACCGUAAAAGUGCCUUCGAUACUGGCCUCCUUGAGUGUGGAUGAAGUAGGCGGAAUUUGUGGUGUAGCGGUGAAAUGCUUAGAUAUCACGAGGAACUCCGAUUGCGCAGGCAGCUUACUAAGCCACAACUGACGCUCAUGCACGAAGGCGUGGGGAUCAAACA